CCUACGGGGGGUAGCAGUGAGGAAUAUUGGUCAAUGGACGGAAGUCUGAACCAGCCAUGCCGCGUGAAGGUCAGUGCCCUAUGGGCGUUAAACUUCUUUUGUGCGGGAGCAAUAAUGGUCACGUGUGGCCAGACGAGAGUACCGUACGAAUAAGCAUCGGCUAACUCCGUGCCAGCAGCCGCGGUAAGACGGUGGAUGCAAGCGUUAUCCGGAUGUAUUGGGUUUAAAGGGUGCGUAGGCUGUGAGGUAAGUCAGCGGUGAAAUGCCCCCGCUCAACGGGGUGAAGUGCCAUUGAUACUGCCUUGCGGGAAUGCGGAUGCCGUGGGAGGAAUGUGUGGUGUAGCGGUGAAAUGCAUAGAUAUCACACAGAACACCGAUUGCGAAGGCAUCUCACGAAUCCGCGAUUGACGCUGAUGCACGAAAGCGUGGGUAUCAAACAGGAUUAGAUACCCUGGUAGUC
This 460-nucleotide ribosomal RNA is filed under the name uncultured bacterium. Its description in RNAcentral is "partial 16S ribosomal RNA". It matches the Rfam family "Bacterial small subunit ribosomal RNA", at positions 338 to 795 of the family's 1533-position model. The record is from RNAcentral.